UGGGGAAUUUUGGACAAUGGGGGAAACCCUGAUCCAGCCAUCCCGCGUGUGCGAUGAAGGCCUUCGGGUUGUAAAGCACUUUUGGCAGGAAAGAAACGUCAUGGGUUAAUACCCCGUGAAACUGACGGUACCUGCAGAAUAAGCACCGGCUAACUACGUGCCAGCAUCCGCGGUAAUACGUAGGGUGCAAGCGUUAAUCGGAAUUACUGGGCGUAAAGCGUGCGCAGGCGGUUCGGAAAGAAAGAUGUGAAAUCCCAGAGCUCAACUUUGGAACUGCAUUUUUAACUCCCGGGCUAAAGUGUGUCAGAGGGAGGUGGAAUUCCGCGUGUAGCAGUGAAAUGCGUAGAUAUGCGGAGGAAAACCGAUGGCGAAGGCAGCCUCCAGGGAUAACACUGACGCUCAUGCACGAAAGCGUGGGGAGCAAACAGG
Molecule: ribosomal RNA, 429 nt
Filed under: Acidobacteriota bacterium
Lineage: Bacteria; Pseudomonadati; Acidobacteriota
Description: Acidobacteria bacterium partial 16S ribosomal RNA
Rfam family: Bacterial small subunit ribosomal RNA
Source: RNAcentral